Molecule: ribosomal RNA, 253 nt
Filed under: uncultured bacterium
Lineage: Bacteria
Description: partial 16S ribosomal RNA
Rfam family: Bacterial small subunit ribosomal RNA
Source: RNAcentral
UACGUAGGGGGCAAGCGUUGUCCGGAUUUAUUGGGCGUAAAGCGCGUGUAGGCGGCCCGGUAAGUCCGCUGUGAAAGUCGGGGGCUCAACCCUCGAAUGCCGGUGGAUACUGUCGGGCUAGAGUGCGGAAGAGGCGAGUGGAAUUCCUGGUGUAGCGGUGAAAUGCGCAGAUAUCAGGAGGAACACCAAUUGCGAAGGCAGCUCGCUGGGACGUGACUGACGCUGAGACGCGAAAGCGUGGGGAGCAAACAGG